Long non-coding RNA from Poecile atricapillus (Black-capped chickadee), 1598 nucleotides. RefSeq lists it as uncharacterized. The record is from RefSeq and is a predicted model, not a curated record. The transcript has 5 exons. Lineage: Eukaryota; Metazoa; Chordata; Aves; Passeriformes; Paridae.
GGGAAAAUUUGAUACAUAUUAAUGCAGUUUAGAGGUAUACAGUGUGUACCAUGUCUCAUUACACUUCUUUAUAGUCAGUAGAGAGAAGAAGGUACUUGGAAUAUAUAACUCAUCUAGUCUGUUUUACAGAGGAGAUGCACCCAUAAAUACCCAAUUGUGCAGAACAUGAUCAGACAGAUGGGAGAAUUAAAGGAACAGAGCUGUGAAGUUACCUGUUCAAAGCCAUAAAGGAGACCAAUGAUAAAUCCAGGUGUAUAAGUCGACUCUCCUAAAUUGCCUUCUAAUGCCAUUAACAAGCCAGUGUAAUCAAAAGAAAGUUUGCUUUCUGGUGUUACAAUGAGCUGGCUUGCACACAGGUGAUGAGCAUGCUCAGAGAAUAUGUCUGGUUAGCAACAAUCGAACCUCUGAAAUAUCUGCAAUUCAUCCAUGCUUCUCCCACCAGCAGGUGUCAUUCUGGAAAAAGGAAAAUAUUGUAAAUUCCUGAACUGGAGAAUUUGGCUGUGACAAAGAAGAAGAAAAAAAGUUUCCUUAAAAUAUAGCUUUUGAAGGAUACUUCACUCCAAACUAAAACCAAGAGAAAGCUGGCUGGUCUGCAUUUUUUAAUAAUCUUUGUGCAGUGUGUAGUCUUGACCUAUAAAUAACAAAGGGCAGACAAUUGGUAAGUCCAGCCAAGUUUACCUUCUCCUCAGCCAUUUUUAGACGGACUACCAAGGACUGUGCUACUGUGAUAUGAUGGCCCAGCAAACUCUUCCUGGAAUAAAAGGGAAAUUUGCUUGAGGGGAAACAUGAAAACAAGUUCCAAGGCUUGGCCGCAAGGAGCACAUUAAAGAUGGACUCCCAAGGCAUGGCUGCAAUGGUUGUUUGGAAUAAGAAACAGAUACCCUCUCGGUGUCAUUCAUCUAUGAUCACUGGGAAUUGGAGCUUGAAUGAAGGUGAAAGAAAACUCCUACACAGAACUGGGAAUGGUUUGUCUCUUAACAGGGGUAUAAUGUCAGUUUAAAAACUUUUACCAAAUAUCAGGACAUGUGAUAAGAGGUUAUGGAUUGGGAAUUAAUUGAAAGAUUGUGAAAUGGGAAAGAAUUCACAUUAUGGGAAGCGGUGGAGGACUACAACCUCAACAUUCGGAAAUUUGUGACCAUGCCCAUGGAAUAUUUUGAGGUGAUGGAACUAUCUCAGAUGACUGUUGUUUUAAAAUAUAAUUUAAAAACCCCUGUACCCUUCCCCAGACAGACUGGAAAAAUACAUUCCUUUUAUUAAUAUUACUCCAGGGGACUGGAGGGUAUUCUGAGCAGUGAAACAUACAGUUUAUGGGAUUCAUACAGAAUUCAGAUUAAAAAUAAUAAAAAAAAAUGGCAGUACUAAUUUGUACCUGGGAGUUGGUAUCUGUUUUAAAAAAUUCUGUUCUAAGAAUAAUUAUUUUACAUUUUUAUAUGUAUUAAAUAGCAUGUGUAUGAUGAAACAUGAAAUGUAUAAUCAAAACAAUGGCUAUGAGUAAAGAACUGUGUAAAUACUACCUAAACAUAUGUGCAAACAUUAUAUAAACUGUUUCAUUUCUAGAGGUUACAGAAAACACUUUAAGAUUUUAUACAGUCUUUCCA